Molecule: long non-coding RNA, 887 nt
Organism: Megalobrama amblycephala (Wuchang bream)
Lineage: Eukaryota; Metazoa; Chordata; Actinopteri; Cypriniformes; Xenocyprididae
Exons: 3
Source: RefSeq, a predicted model, not a curated record
UUGCAAAAACUGCUUGGCCAACUCCCAAAUAAAUUACAUAUUUCAAAUCAGCAACAAAAUCUGACAUUAACCGUCCCAUAAAUGUUGUUUCUUAUGCUAAAAUAGCAUUUAAAAAGCUUAUUUUUCAGGCUAGACAAGCUAAUGCGCAUGUGCACGAGUCUCAGGAACCGGAGCCUCUAACAGCAGCUACAGUGACGCAAUGACUUUAUCAAUCUGCGAUUGGCUCUUUUACUUAGAAAGCGGGACAAAUUCCGCCAUUUUGUGCGUUGCAGUUUCUCCCGUUCAUAUCUAAAUCGUCUUUCAACAGUCUUCGACCCAAUUCUCCAUUGCGCUAAAUGAAAAAGAGCAGCCUGAGCCCUGGAAAUUCUGCUAUAUACAUUCUUCAAAAGACAUGCACUGAUGCUCAACACCCUGGACCAGACCAGACAGACCCAAGGGCUCGUCAUGACCUCAUCUCACACAGAUUUACCCCCACAUACCCCGUGGCUUUCCUGUGACCUCGGAUCUAACAAGCCAACCAACUAGGCCAAUCUCAUCUCCAAGCAUCCCAGGAAAACCAGGCCUUAUUGAUGUUUUCCACCAUGUUAGUACAAGCACAUCGGUUUCACUCGCCUUUCUGCACUGAGUUGAAUGUAAUCACUUAUAAUAUAUCUUGACCUUGGAAAAUUAUUCACAGCAAAAAUAAAGUUGCAUUUGAAUUCAACUGAACUUGCUGUGAUUAAUGUGCCCAUAUCUCUUAAACAAACUUUACAAGUCGAUGGAGCAUGGCAGUAUUGUAUUGCAUUCAUCUGAUCUCUCCAAACAGCGUUUGACCCUGAGAGAUCAAUUUCUAUUACUGCAGCCCUGAAUAUCUUUUUAAAGGGUUAGUUCACCAAAAAAAAAAAGAA